UCAAUAGAAUCAGUGCUUCGGUUGACGCAGCAAUUUUCCGUUGGUUGAAGACUUCACAAAUAUUUGCGAUAAAUACCGAAUUCUCACGUAAAACAACCAAUUUUCAAUCAGUGAUUGUAAGAAGCAAGUGUCUGCUGUUGGUAGAGAAAAAUAAUUAAUUGACGACAAUGGGUCUCGUCUGUUCUACAGCGCAGCUCGCUUGCCUUUGUGGUAGCACGGCAUGCAGUUUCUGCUGCUCACAGUGUCCAACAUGUCGCAACAGCACCAGUACUCGGAUCAUGUAUGCCCUCAUGUUGUUGCUGGGUACAAUAGCUGCGUGUAUUACACUUUCCUCUGGUCUCCAAGAUACUCUGAAAAAAGUCCCCUUCUGUACCAACAGCUCUAAUUAUGUACCUUCCACAUACACCGUUGACUGUCAAUCCGCUGUUGGAUAUCUAGCCGUGUACAGGCUCUGUUUUAUUCUGUCUUUAUUCUUCAUACUUAUGUCAGUAAUCAUGAUCAGAGUGAAAAGUUCCAAGGAUCCGCGAGCGCCAAUUCAAAAUGGAUUCUGGGCAAUUAAGUACCUCUUGGUAAUUGGCGGAAUGAUUGGAGCCUUCUUUAUUCCGGAAAAAUCGUUUGGAAGUACUUGGAUGUACUUUGGGAUGAUUGGUGGAUUCCUAUUUAUCCUAAUCCAGCUAAUUCUCAUUGUUGAUUUUGCUCACUCGUGGGCAGAUGCUUGGGUUGGCAACUACAAUGAUACAGAAUCCAAGGGCUGGUAUGCUGCACUUUUAGGGGCUACAUUCCUGAAUUAUGCGCUUGCUAUUGCUGGCAUUGUUCUCCUGUUCAUCCAUUUCACUACGCCAAACGACUGUGCCCUCAACAAGUUCUUCAUUUCAUUCAACCUGAUUCUCUGUAUAAUUACCAGCGCUAUAUCGAUUCUACCAAUUGUACAGGAGAAACUAGCCAACAGUGGUCUUCUCCAAUCCUCCGUUGUCAGUCUUUACGUCAUUUAUCUGACCUGGAGUGGUGUAGCCAACAGCCCAGAUGCCACUUGCAAUCCUGGAAUGCUGGGCAUCAUUGGUGCCGGAGAUGUGCCUUCUCAGAACAAGGUUGCAUUUGACAAAGAGAGCAUCAUUGGAUUAAUCAUAUGGAUGUGCUGCGUCCUGUACAGUUCACUUCGUACAGCUUCUAAAUCAGCCAGGAUCACCAUGUCGGAUAACGUAAUGGCCAAAGACAAUGGAGCUGUCAGGAACCAAGCAGACCAAUCCCUGGUUGGCAAUGAAGUAGAAGGUCCGAGCGGAGAUCAUGCGGAAGGUGGUACAGCCAAAGUUUGGGACAAUGAAGAUGACAGUGUUGCCUACAGCUGGAGUUUCUUCCAUCUCAUGUUCGCUCUUGCCACAUUGUACGUUAUGAUGACACUAACCAACUGGUACAAACCUAAUUCGAGUUUGGAUACACUGAAUUCAAACGCCGCUUCGAUGUGGGUUAAAAUAAUAUCAUCCUGGAUGUGUCUUGGACUGUACACCUGGUCGUUGGUUGCACCUGUCGUCCUGAAAGAUCGUGAAUUUUCAACCUAAAGUGAGGUAAAAACGAGGCUAUAAUACUUUGAUUUCAGAUUCUCGGCGGCACUCUGCGCUCACAGGACCCGUUCCUGGUUGAUAGGCGGGAACGAAAUCCAAAAGAUGCCGCGAUUCUCUAUCAAUUUCUUCUGUAAAUUGUGCUGCGAAAAGAAGAAUACCAAAGUCAAGAUCCCUUCAUCUUUUCCUACAAUUUGCCAGAAUCCACUUAGAUUUUUCACAUAAAUGGUAUGCGAUCUACGUCACCUCUAAUCAUUAUGCUAGGUACUUUCAGUUUCAGAAUUGAGCAACUGGCUGGAAAUUGAAGCCUUGGGGCUGUUGAGUGAUCUUCACUAGCUCCGAAAAACGGUUACGAAAUGGACAAUGACGGGGUCAUGAUAUACCUACAAUUCGUGUCCCACUUUCGUUUUUGCCAAUUUUGCAAGUCGCUCUAAAUUUUUACAAAACUGCCGUUCCCCACAAAUACCCAUGUUCUCAAUUAAUUGCGUUAUCACCGCAGGAUCAGCGACUUACGAAACUCCUACUUAUGACAUUCAACGUUCAAAGUUGAAAUAUGCUCAAAAACUACCAUGAAAGCUACCUCUGAAGAAAUGAUUUGUCGAUGACUUUUUUACAUUUAUAAUUUUUCUUCAUCUAGGAUUCCCUGUUAAAAAGGUAUCGGUGAUACAACGUAGUAAUUUGAUUGUAACAAAUGGAAGAAAUUUCCGAUCUCUAUAAUUUGCGAUUGCAAGUAGCCCACUAAUUAUAAUAAGUGUUCGGAUUUUGAAUGUUUCUGCAAUAACGUGCAUCCGCACUAUUAACUACAUUACGAUAGUUAUUGAAUCUGGGUAAUUGAUUCGCUGGAUUCAGAACAUCAUAUCGACGCUGAGUAUGUGAUUUUACAUUUUAUUGAGUGAUCAUCUUCCCACAAAUGCAAAUUUGUGCCAGUCAUCCGAAGAGCCCUGACUAAUUGGAAAGGAAAACAACAUGCGAUAUGCACACUACACCCCGGUGCCAGAGGCAAGGGAAUUCCGUACGAAGUUUUCAGCCGGACGGGGAAGUACAGUGUUGAAGAUUCACCUACUUUGUCGAUGUCGCAUGCGAUAGAGCCAUAACUGAAUCUUUAUUAACGACAGUUCAUUAUCUGUAUAUUCCAUCGUAAGGACAUCCGCUGGAUAAGCCAGAGGAUGAGGAACCUGCGAAAGAUGAUUUGGAUUUAGUAAUCCCCUUGACUUCGGCCUGCAGCAACUAUACCGAACUGUAGUGGUAAAAGCGCCGGUUUUCUACGUAUAAUCGUUAGAAUUCUUCCAUUCUCGUGUAACAUAGUAUACCCAUAAUAUAUCGAACUACGCAUGUUGUUGCUGCAGAACGUGGGACAAAACUACUUUCGAUAUUUCGUCACGUGAAUAGAGUAUUAGGUGCUAGUUGAAGCGGUUUCAGCUGCGCCGCUGCUGCUGCCGCUAGAUAUCAAGAUAUUUACUUUCAUUGCCCGGCUGCGUCGAUGACACGCUGCAAGGCCGUCCCACGAUUUAAUCUCGUACGGUAAAAUUGGGCCAAAUAUGAAUUUUACCAGAAAUCCGCAAUCGAGAUCAAACUCUAAUGAGCGAUUUCGAAACAACGCGAACUCUGUCGAGUUAUAAUAUAGGUACUUUUGAUUCGGUAUCAACGCAUAAUUUAGAAAUUCUUCAACGCCUCGGUAGAGAUGACCUCUUAUGUUUCGCGUGUCCCGAUCCAACAUCUCGACAUUCUUGCCUUUUUACUCUAAGAAUUACCUUCGGUACGAAGGUGAAGUUGAAUAAUCACAAUAAUUAGCGUCAGUAGUUAUUUAACAUAUUCGCUAUGCAGGUCUACCGGACAUCAUAACUAUUUGCGUGAUAAUUGAUAAAUAAAUACAAAUACGAUCCAGACGUGCGAGAAAUCGGUUUUAUGUAAUUCACGAUUGAAUUUAAUUAAGCCAUAUCUAGUUUUCAUUCCAAGUUUGCUAUCUGUGCCAUGUGGUGUCACAUUUAUUAUGCAGUGGCCUUGAAAUCGGGGAGUUAUGCGAUACCUAUAAGUAUACAGUCACUUAUGUUUCUAGGCCUCACGUAAAAUUAAAAAGCGAACUAUGAUUUCAAUCGGACGUAAUCGCUUCGGUCGAGACUAGCUUGCACCUGACUAUGAAUCGGGUGCCCUUGAAAACUCGGGUCAUUUUCAUUUUCAAGGUUCUCGUUAUCGAGAGAUUUUAUCCAGCUCUCUAUUCUCUCUUUAUCACAAUGCGUUUCGUAUUAUGUCAAUUCUUUCGGCUCUGCCAUCCGACUUCUACGGGGUGCCGAUACACAGGGGACAUGGUGAACAUUGAAUGAACACUGCAAACGAUAAAGCCGUUUGCCUCGAUCUAGGAUUAGAACUGGCAAACAGUGGCCAAUGAACGACUGCCGAGAACAAGUAUGCGGAUUGCGACCAAAAUGAAAGUAAAUACGAAUAACGGAUGUCGAAGAGUGCUUUGAAAGAGAAUCGCUGAGGAUAUCGUAACAGGUUUUCCAACCCGGUUG
Molecule: RNA transcript, 4066 nt
Organism: Athalia rosae (coleseed sawfly)
Lineage: Eukaryota; Metazoa; Arthropoda; Insecta; Hymenoptera; Athaliidae
Gene: TMS1
Gene name: probable serine incorporator
Exons: 14
Source: RefSeq, a predicted model, not a curated record